AGAGUUUGAUCCUGGCUCAGGAUGAACGCUGGCGGCGUGCUUAACACAUGCAAGUCGAACGAAGCACUUUAGAUGAUCCCUUCGGGGUGAAUGUAUUGUGACUGAGUGGCGGACGGGUGAGUAACGCGUGGGUAACCUGCCUCAUACAGGGGGAUAACAGUUGGAAACGGCUGCUAAUACCGCAUAAGCGCACAGGACCGCAUGGUCCGGUGUGAAAAACUCCGGUGGUAUGAGAUGGACCCGCGUCUGAUUAGCUAGUUGGCGGAGUAACGGCCCACCAAGGCGACGAUCAGUAGCCGACCUGAGAGGGUGACCGGCCACAUUGGGACUGAGACACGGCCCAAACUCCUACGGGAGGCAGCAGUGGGGAAUAUUGCACAAUGGGCGAAAGCCUGAUGCAGCGACGCCGCGUGAACGAAGAAGUAUUUCGGUAUGUAAAGUUCUAUCAGCAGGGAAGAAGAAUGACGGUACCUGACUAAGAAGCACCGGCUAAAUACGUGCCAGCAGCCGCGGUAAUACGUAUGGUGCAAGCGUUAUCCGGAUUUACUGGGUGUAAAGGGAGCGCAGGCGGUACGGCAAGUCUGAUGUGAAAGCCCGGGGCUCAACCCCGGUACUGCAUGGGAAACUGUCGAACUAGAGUGUCGGAGGGGUAAGUGGAAUUCCUAGUGUAGCGGUGAAAUGCGUAGAUAUAGGGAGGAAACACCAGUGGCGAAGGCGGCUACUGGGACGAUAACUGACGCUGAGGCUCGAAAGCGUGGGGAGCAACAGGAUUAGAUACCCUGGUAGUCCACGCUGUAAACGAUGAAUACUAGGUGUUGGGGAGCAUUGCUCUUCGGUGCCGUCGCAAACGCAGUAAGUAUUCCACCUGGGGAGUACGUUCGCAAGAAUGAAACUCAAAGGAAUUGACGGGGACCCGCACAAGCGGUGGAGCAUGUGGUUUAAUUCGAAGUAACGCGAAGAACCUUACCAAGUCUUGACAUCCUUCUGACCGGCACGUAACGGUGCCUUCUCUUCGGAGCAGGAGUGACAGGUGGUGCGUGGUUGUCGUCAGCUCGUGUCGUGAGAUGUUGGGUUAAGUCCCGCAACGAGCGCGACCCUUAUCUUUAGUAGCCAGCGGAGAAGCCGGGCACUCUAGAGAGACUGCCAGGGAUAACCUGGAGGAAGGCGGGGAUGACGUCAAAUCAUCAUGCCCCUUAUGACUUGGGCUACACACGUGCUACAAUGGCGUAAACAAAGGGAAGCAGAGCCGUGAGGCCGAGCAAAUCUCAAAAAUAACGUCUCAGUUCGGACUGUAGUCUGCAACCCGACUACACGAAGCUGGAAUCGCUAGUAAUCGCAGAUCAGAAUGCUGCGGUGAAUACGUUCCCGNGGUCUUGUACACACCGCCCGUC
This 1391-nucleotide ribosomal RNA is filed under the name uncultured bacterium. Its description in RNAcentral is "bacterial SSU rRNA". It matches the Rfam family "Bacterial small subunit ribosomal RNA". The record is from RNAcentral.